Long non-coding RNA from Nyctereutes procyonoides (raccoon dog), 798 nucleotides. RefSeq lists it as uncharacterized. Lineage: Eukaryota; Metazoa; Chordata; Mammalia; Carnivora; Canidae. The transcript is spliced from 3 exons. The record is from RefSeq and is a predicted model, not a curated record.
UGGGCUUUUACCCUCAGCUUCCAAAAGCUCACUUUGUAAACCCUGUGGCCUUCACCCUGAAAGAUUCGGGCCUUAACUGAAAGAAUUCGUUUGUCAGGGACACCAGCAAAAGUCCCCCAAGGGCUCCAGAUAGAAAAGCCACUUGCCAGUUCGAAAAGGAGGACAGUGAGACAGCAGAAUGUUUGCAGUCUCUCAUCCCGCCCAUCGUCCUGUGGCGUCCUGGGCUCCUCAUCUGAGGAUCUCGUUUGAAAAGAAGAAGCAAGGCCUCAACUGGGUGCUCAGAGGCUCAUCGCUGGAAGACAUUGCUCCAAAUCGGUCUACAGAUCCUGCAUGUUUGCAUCACAAGGAGCUGAGCUGCCGGUGCCACCAGCCUGGUUCUGCCCAGGGUGGUUUAUCUGCUCCAGGGCCAGCCCUCGGCAAAACUGUCAAGGGGAAAAUAAUGAUCUUUUGCACCUCCCAGCUCUCCUGGAAUUUAUCAGGACAACAUUGUCUCAGAAGGCUGGCUGCUAAGGGUCCAUGCUCAAGAAGGAGGGAGAAGCAGCAGAACCUUUUACCGCCCCGUAACACUCAACAGUUUAGAGAAUGGUCCAAACAGACCAUGCUGUGGCUUCUCACGCUAACCUAAGGAAGUAGGCAGAGCAGAUGGAUUCUAUACCUGUUGAUGAUGGAGGAGGACACCCCUGAGAUGCUCCAGUGGGAGAAACUGGAUGUACCAAAGGGCAGGAUAGCUGGAAGCCGGAGAUGAGGUGAGAACGCUUACUUGUGUUUCUUUAUUUUUAUUGCCAGUAGGAACUCAGG